AAAAAACAAAAAAACAAAAAAAAAAAACAUACCUUCUCAGUCAUUUUUCUGAACUGCCUAAGUUCUUGUAUGACUUAUUGGGAACCCUUUUAGAUUACUUUUCUUAAGUUAAGUGUCUUGUCUGUUGAGUGGUCCCAGGUUGAAAAAUAAAAAGAAAGAAAGCCACUGUUUGAAUGACUGAGGUGCUUUUAACACUUGAAAAAAUAGCAACUUGCAGACAGAGAAAUGUGGAAAUAUAUCCUUUCAUAGCUGAUGUAUCUCUGGCCUGAUACAGUUGUUUUCUGUUUAACAUUCCAGUGCUUUAAGGCAUUACAAAUGUUCCCAGCUACCAGCUUCAGCCUUUGCCCCAGCAUCUCAGUUGCAGGAGGUGCAGGCUGACGAUGGACCUGGACAUGCAAAGACUCCAAUGCCCCAGCAGCAGUCCCCUCUUUUAGCCUGGUGAAUGCCAGGUUUUUGGAUGCUUACCACACAGUUCAGGCUGUGAUAAGGAUUAUUUUUUUUUUCUCCUGACUUUUGGAAGGAGUAUGACAAACGAAUCCUUGACUUCUGUUUGCCGUGACUCUGUGCUGAGGCUGUUGAAUCACGCUAGUACCAUUCUCUGCUCUACAGCACUUCAAGGCAUAGCAGGUAUACCUUUUGUUCAGACUGCUCCAGUCUGUAGGAUAAAUGCUGGAAAGUCAUCAGAAGGAUCUUGGAGAGAUCAAAGCUCUGGCUGAUUGCUUCCUUAUUUUCACUGCUGGAAAACAGAUUCGUGCAUCACCUUGAAUACAUUCGCUCCUCCUACAGCUGUAUUAUUGCAAACAGACAUCACUGAAACAAUUUUGAACCAAGUAUGAAGCUGUUCUGUUAGAAGUGUUACACACUAUCAUCAGGAACAAAAACCACAAAGCUUUAUCUGGAAACCUAAAUGGCCAGAUAGAAGGAUUUUAUUGGGAGAGAAUACAGGACUCAUGGAAGAUUUAGGUCAAUUAUUCCUCUGUUCUGGUAGUGUUAAUCUUUGGGCUGAAAUUUCAGAUAACAGCAGGUAGUGCUGUUAACACCAGUCCUUGGUGCUGUUAAACUUCCUUUAUGUUAGAGUACUAGCAAUAAAAAAACAAUUUCAUUUACA
This 1108-nucleotide long non-coding RNA is filed under the name Anser brachyrhynchus (Pink-footed goose). RNAcentral's name for it is "lncRNA (ENSABRG00000010583.1)". The record is from RNAcentral. Lineage: Eukaryota; Metazoa; Chordata; Aves; Anseriformes; Anatidae.